UACGAGAAGGCAGCUACACGGCGACGUGAUGCUAAUCCCAAAACCUCUCUCAGUUCGGAUUGGAGUCUGCAACCCGACUCCAUGAAGCUGGAUUCGCUAGUAAUCGCGCAUCAGCCACGGCGCGGUGAAUACCGGUUCCCGGGCCUUGUACACACCGCCCGUCAAGCCAUGAAAGCCGGGGGUACCUGAAGUCCGUAACCGUAAGGAGCGGCCUAGGGUAAAACUGGUAAUUGGGGCUAAGUCGUAACAAGGUAGC
RNAcentral lists this ribosomal RNA (256 nucleotides) under uncultured bacterium. RNAcentral's name for it is "partial 16S ribosomal RNA". It matches the Rfam family "Bacterial small subunit ribosomal RNA", at positions 1238 to 1500 of the family's 1533-position model. The record is from RNAcentral.